AUUGAACGCUGGCGGCAGGCCUAACACAUGCAAGUCGAGCGGAUGAAGGGAGCUUGCUCCUGGAUUCAGCGGCGGACGGGUGAGUAAUGCCUAGGAAUCUGCCUGGUAGUGGGGGAUAACGUCCGGAAACGGGCGCUAAUACCGCAUACGUCCUGAGGGAGAAAGUGGGGGAUCUUCGGACCUCACGCUAUCAGAUGAGCCUAGGUCGGAUUAGCUAGUUGGUGGGGUAAAGGCCUACCAAGGCGACGAUCCGUAACUGGUCUGAGAGGAUGAUCAGUCACACUGAAACUGAAACACGGCCCGGACCCCUAGGGAGGGCAGCAGGGGGGAAUUUUGGACAAUGGGGAAAAGCCGAAUCCAGCCAUGCCGGGUUGGUGAAGAAGGUCUUCGGAUUGUAAAGCACUUUAAGUUGGGAGAAAGGGAAGAAAGUUAAUACCUUGCUUUUUUGACGUUACCAACAGAAUAAACACCGGCUAACUUCGU
This 483-nucleotide ribosomal RNA is filed under the name uncultured bacterium. RNAcentral describes it as "partial 16S ribosomal RNA". It matches the Rfam family "Bacterial small subunit ribosomal RNA", at positions 30 to 506 of the family's 1533-position model. The record is from RNAcentral.